AACAAGCAUAGACUGAACUUCAUUCGAUUCAUUGGCUUUGGCAGAGAACUAAUAUCAUUAAUCCAUUCAACACUACUUGAUAACAACUGAAAGAUUCAAGGAUCGCAACCAUCAAGAGUGAAACAAGAGAAGCAAAAAUCGAAAAACAUUUUAUCAGCGAAUUAUUAUACAUUAAAGAUAACAAGCAUUCAUAUACUAACUGAACAAAUUUAUAGCACUCUUUGUGGCUGCCAAAAUUUCAUCAUCUAGUUGCAUUAGGCAUACUGUUUCCUAAUAUGCCAAGUGUCCUUUCCUUUUGGGAGCAAAAAUACUAUCGUGUUAAAAAGUUAGAACACACUUUUCUUCCUCUGCACCGAUUGGGAGCACUCUUUCAUUUCUUCAAGAGCAGUGGCAGUUGAAUCACUUAUGCCCAGCAAAUACCUUUCCUUUUGGGAGCAAAAAUACUAUCGUGUU
This is a long non-coding RNA of Populus euphratica (Euphrates poplar), 453 nucleotides long. RefSeq lists it as uncharacterized. The record is from RefSeq and is a predicted model, not a curated record. The transcript is spliced from 2 exons. Lineage: Eukaryota; Viridiplantae; Streptophyta; Magnoliopsida; Malpighiales; Salicaceae.